This 776-nucleotide ribosomal RNA is filed under the name uncultured Neocallimastigales. Its description in RNAcentral is "partial large subunit ribosomal RNA". It matches the Rfam family "Eukaryotic large subunit ribosomal RNA", at positions 24 to 643 of the family's 3401-position model. Lineage: Eukaryota; Fungi; Neocallimastigomycota; Neocallimastigomycetes; Neocallimastigales. The record is from RNAcentral.
UAUGUGAUCGUCUCUCGCAUAUCAAUAAGCGGAGGAAAAGAAACUAACAAGGAUUCCCCUAGUAACGGCGAGUGAAGCGGGAAGAGCUCAAAUUUGAAAUCUUAAAGAGGUUUCCCUUUACGAAUUGUAGUUUAAAGAAGUGUUUUCUGUUGAGGUUUUGGUAAAAGUUCUUUGGAAUAGGACAUCAUAGAGGGUGAGAAUCCCGUAUUUGACCUUUACUUUCAACUUUGUGAUACACUUUCAAAGAGUCGGAUUGUUUGGGAAUGCAGUCCAAAAUGGGUGGUAAAUUUCAUCUAAAGCUAAAUAUUGGCGAGAGACCGAUAGCGAAACAAGUACCGUGAGGGAAAGAUGAAAAGAACUUUGAAAAGAGAGUUAAACAGUACGUGAAAUUGUCAAAAGGGAAGCGUUUGACACCAGUGUUGUUUUUCUGAAAAUCAAUUAAAGAACUGUUUAUGCUAAGUUGUUUAGACUUUAUCAGCUAACUGUUUAGUUUUGAGCUUUUCUUUAAUGCACUUUUCAGUUAACAAGUCAACAUCAAUUUCUUUUGCUGUAAAAAAGCUUGAGGAAGGUGGCUUGAGAUUCGUCUUAAGUGUUUAUAGCCUCUUGCCUAUGCAGUCGGAGAGAUUGAGGUCUGCAGCGUAGAUCCUUCGGGGCUAAAUGCAUUUGUGCUAAGUUAUAACAUUUUAUAGACAACUUGUUGACUAUGAUUUGUCUUGUAGCUUACUCGCUUAUGUUAUUUUACCUACGCUUAGGAUGUUGACACACGCGCGUGCUCG